This 905-nucleotide ribosomal RNA is filed under the name Cremeoderma unicum. RNAcentral's name for it is "Phlebia unica partial large subunit ribosomal RNA". It matches the Rfam family "Eukaryotic large subunit ribosomal RNA", at positions 72 to 962 of the family's 3401-position model. Lineage: Eukaryota; Fungi; Basidiomycota; Agaricomycetes; Polyporales; Phanerochaetaceae. The record is from RNAcentral.
GGAUUCCCCUAGUAACUGCGAGUGAAGCGGGAAAAGCUCAAAUUUAAAAUCUGGCAGUCUUUGGCUGUCCGAGUUGUAGUCUGGAGAAGCGUUUUCCGUGCUGGACCGUGUACAAGUCUCUUGGAACAGAGCGUCAUAGAGGGUGAGAAUCCCGUCUUUGACACGGACUACCAGUGCUUUGUGAUGCGCUCUCAAAGAGUCGAGUUGUUUGGGAAUGCAGCUCAAAAUGGGUGGUAAAUUCCAUCUAAAGCUAAAUAUUGGCGAGAGACCGAUAGCGAACAAGUACCGUGAGGGAAAGAUGAAAAGCACUUUGGAAAGAGAGUUAAACAGUACGUGAAAUUGCUGAAAGGGAAACGCUUGAAGUCAGUCGCGUCUGCUAGUACUCAGCCUGCCUUUUGGUUGGUGCAUUUAUUAGUAUACGGGCCAGCAUCAGUUUUGGCUGCGGGAUAAAGGUCAGAGGAAUGUGGCACCUUCGGGUGUGUUAUAGCCUCUGGUCAUAUACCGUGGCUGGGACUGAGGAUCUCAGCACGCCUUUAUGGCGGGGGUUCGCCCACCUUUCGUGCUUAGGAUGCUGGCGUAAUGGCUUUAAACGACCCGUCUUGAAACACGGACCAAGGAGUCUAACAUGCCUGCGAGUGUUUGGGUGGAAAACCCGAGCGCGAAAUGAAAGUGAUAGUUGGGACCUCUGUCGUGGAGGGCACCGACGCCCGGACCAGACCUACUGUGACGGAUCCGCGGUAGAGCAUGUAUGUUGGGACCCGAAAGAUGGUGAACUAUGCCUGAAUAGGGUGAAGCCAGAGGAAACUCUGGUGGAGGCUCGUAGCGAUUCUGACGUGCAAAUCGAUCGUCAAAUUUGGGUAUAGGGGCGAAAGACUAAUCGAACCAUCUAGUAGCUGGUUCCUGCC